AGUGGAAUAACUGGAUCAAAUGGUGGUUCCAUUCCAGUUUUCUAAGGAAUCUGCAUAUUGUUUUCCAGAGUGGUUGCACCAAUUUGCAGUCCUACCAGCAAU
This 102-nucleotide microRNA precursor is filed under the name Marmota monax (woodchuck). The record is from RNAcentral. Lineage: Eukaryota; Metazoa; Chordata; Mammalia; Rodentia; Sciuridae.